Molecule: ribosomal RNA, 421 nt
Filed under: uncultured bacterium
Lineage: Bacteria
Description: bacterial SSU rRNA
Rfam family: Bacterial small subunit ribosomal RNA
Source: RNAcentral
AACGCGAAGAACCUUACCAGGGAUUGACAUGACGGUAGUAGUGAAGCGAAAGCGGAACGACCCUUCGGGGAGCCGUCACAGGUGAUGCAUGGCUGUCGUCAGCUCGUGCCGUGAGGUGUUUGGUUAAGUCCACUAACGAGCGCAACCCCUAGUGCCAGUUACAAGUGUCUGGCGCGACUGCCGGUAUUAAGCCGGAGGAAGGUGGGGAUGACGUCAAGUCAGCAUGUCCUUUAUACCCUGGGCGACACACACGCUACAAUGGCCAGCACAAUGGGUCGCCAAGCCGUGAGGCGGAGCCAAUCCUAAAAAGCUGGUCUCAGUUCGGAUUGCAGGCUGCAACCCGCCUGCAUGAAGUCGGAGUUGCUAGUAACCGCAGGACAGCUAUACUGCGGUGAAUACGUUCCCGGGUCUGUACACACCG